AUACUAGCCACUGAAAAUGCCGGUUCACUUUCUUCGAAUCGGCUUUCAAUGUGUAUUUCACACAAAUUAAUCAACUUCCCCUUCCGAGGAUCUGGCCUGAAAGGUC
RNAcentral lists this unclassified non-coding RNA (106 nucleotides) under Escherichia coli. RNAcentral describes it as "ECRV308_04275 small RNA". The stretch from base 1 to 54 matches the Rfam family "Enterobacterial sRNA STnc450". Lineage: Bacteria; Pseudomonadati; Pseudomonadota; Gammaproteobacteria; Enterobacterales; Enterobacteriaceae. The record is from RNAcentral.